RNAcentral lists this ribosomal RNA (309 nucleotides) under uncultured eukaryote. RNAcentral's name for it is "partial 18S ribosomal RNA". It matches the Rfam family "Eukaryotic small subunit ribosomal RNA", at positions 1470 to 1796 of the family's 1831-position model. The record is from RNAcentral.
CCCUUAGAUGUUCUGGGCGGCCCGCGCACUACAUUGGCACCCUCAAUAAGUUCCUAGAUCUAAAACUUUGGGGUAUUCUAUUAAGUGGUGUCGUGACUGGGAUUAACCCUUGCAAUUAUUGGUUACGAACGAGGAAUUCCUUGUAAUCGCGGUUUAUCAGCCCGCGUUGAAUGCGUCCCUGCCCUUUGUACACACCGCCCGUCGCUCCUACCGAUGAAUCGUCCGGUGAAGUUCAUGGAGUGGUGGUUGUUCCAGCUGCUGUCGAAGUGAAAUGGACCUCACGAUUUAGAGGAAGGAGAAGUCGUAACA